CGCUUGCUUUUUUUGUGCGCGCUCUCUCUCUUUCUCUAUCUUGUAAAGGAAAGAAAAAAUGGAGCAAACCCGAAGGCCGUUACGUCGUGGGUGGUGAAAUGACGGCAGGGAAAACAAAAUCCCCACCCGUCUCUCUCUCUCUCUCUCUCUCUGCGCUUCUCAGUUUUCCUCUUUCUAAUCUAGGUCUUCCUGGGUGCUGAAAGUUUAGGUCGCAGUGGAUCUGCAUUUUUUAUGGAAUUGUGAUGUGGGUUUUGGGGUUCGAGAUUUUCGUUCUUCGUGAUGCUCUGAAUGAGGAUGGUGGUCCGAGAAGUGGGCUCUAGCGGUAUCUGCUCGUGUCCUUUGAUUAGGGUUUUUUUUAGGUGCAAUUGCUCUCUCUUGAUGGGAUCGAGGACGAUUAAGGUCAUGGUUGUUUUCAAUUGUGCUAGUCAGACGGAUGAAGAUUUCUUUGACAAGCCUGUGGAUGACGAGCUCCUGCAGCUGAGUUACACGAGUGUAAUGAUUCUGAUGGGAUCAACGAUGGGCCCCCUGCUGACACUUCUCUAGCGAACCUUUUUUUGAGUGAAUCGGAGAACCAUUCAGAAGUUCAGGUGGACGUCGCUGUUGCCGGAAAGUUUCUGCAUGCUCAUGCAGGCAGGAAGCUUGUCCUCUCUGCUGCACGGUAAUUUUGUUCGUUCAGUCUGAUCCUGUUAACUUGGCAACUCAUUAUCUUUUUCUUUUCUUUUUCCGUUUUUUUUUCUCUUUCACUGUCUAUGUGGUCAUUCGUUGGUUGAAGCACUUCUGGAGUCAUGGAUGGAUGCAUUUAAAUUUCUUGGUCUGUAAUGUGGUGAGGAAUUAAUGGAUCUGACAAGAGGUGUGUUUCUGCAUCUUGGGAGGAAGAGUGCAGAAGGGAUGUGGAGAAAUGGAAUAAUGGUCAGGCUACUAUGUAUGAGGCCAAUUUUUGAUGUCUAACUUACCGUGUAGGAGGCCUGUCUUUGCAACUAAUAUUUUGAUUCUGGAAUUAUAUGCUUAUUAUUAAAUCAAAAUUCUGAAAUUAUGAUUCUAUCCUAAGGGGUAGAAUUAUAAUUCCGGGUUUUGUUUAUGUUUGAGAAGUAACUCAUGCAUUUUAUUU
This is a long non-coding RNA of Nymphaea colorata (pocket water lily), 1108 nucleotides long. RefSeq lists it as uncharacterized. The record is from RefSeq and is a predicted model, not a curated record. The transcript has 3 exons. Lineage: Eukaryota; Viridiplantae; Streptophyta; Magnoliopsida; Nymphaeales; Nymphaeaceae.